Molecule: long non-coding RNA, 3640 nt
Filed under: Sus scrofa (pig)
Lineage: Eukaryota; Metazoa; Chordata; Mammalia; Artiodactyla; Suidae
Description: lncRNA (ENSSSCG00035030934.1)
Source: RNAcentral
GCUUUUUAGGGCUGCACCCAUGGCAUAUGGAUGUUCCCAGGCUAGGGGUCGAAUUGGAGUUGUAGCCACUGUCCUACACCACAGCCAUAGCAAUGCUGGAUCUUUGACCCACUGACUGAGGACAGGGAUCAAAACCACAUCCUCAUGGAUCCUAGUAGGGUUCGUUAAACUGCUGAGACAUGAAGGGAACCCCCUAUUUUUUUUUUGGAAGCACUCAUGAAGACAGUGUUUCCUGCUCAGGCUAUUUGCUCUUCUUAAGAAUGCCUUCCUCCCUACUUACCACAUACUCAUUUUUUGAAGCUUCUCUGAAGGUGUACAUCCUUCUUGAAGGUUUUUUCUGACUCCCUUGCUGGAAAAUGUUUCUCUGACUUAUAAACACCUACAGUGCCAUAGUGCAGACUGCCAAGGUAUGUGCUUUGAGGGCCCCGUUUCUGGCUGUCAGGCUUUCUCCAUGUGAAGUCUCCAAAACACUAUGGAGUAUAUGAAGGCAUGAGGUAGGGCCCAGCCUAAUCUGGUCAUGUGAUGUGGAGGAGCCAAGCAAUACUUUCUCCAAGAACACUCUUCAUCAUUAACUGUUAUCUACAAAACAUCUUCACUUUGGGGAAAAUUCAAGCUAUGUUGUUGAAUAGAUUAAUCUUGUUGCUGGAAAUAAGUACUCCUUUGGAAGAGGGGUGAUAAAGACAAUAACUAAUCUUAUUAGCUGCUUUUAUUAAACAUAUCUUACUUCGACCGAAAUACCCUGAUUCUGAUUCCUGUCUAUUGAUUUCACCUCAAAGCAUUUCUUCAUAGUGGGAUGUGGAAGUAAUGGGUCACUCUGUAAAGAGACUCUAUCUCAAAGUCUAUCUACAUCAUCUCAAGUGAUUACAUGCCUGAAAUAAAUUUGCUUCAAAUUGUCAUGAAAUUUUGCCUACUACAUAGUCCCUGAAAGAGCCUCUGUUUAGAAAGAGGGGGAAUAAAAGCAAGUAUAGAUACGAAGCUCCUGCUAAACAUCCAUUUAUUUUAAGAAAUAAGCUAGCUACAUUUUAAAAGUAGGUGAUUAAAUUACAGUCCUUGAGCAUUUUUAUUUGAUUUAAUGUUCUGAGAUGCUUAUGUUCUGUUUAAAUGCUAGACUGUAAGCAUUUGGCUAAGGCAUAAGCUUCAAAGUGGUGACAGUAAAAGAAGUUAUAUAGUGAUUCUGGGCCAAAAAUACUGUUUCUCUUACCUAAAUCUUUCAGUUGUAAUACAGCCAGGUAAAGAUGGCUUUGUGUUUGCCAACAUUUUCAGAGGCUGAUUGGGCAAAAAAACAUAGAAUCAUUUUCCUAAGUCUCUCCUCAUCAUCAAAGCCUUCCCCUCACUACCCUACCUUAAGGCAUCCUCAUUUAAAUUUUAAAAGAAUUUUCUAAAAGAUAACAAUAGGAGUUCCUGUGGUGGCUCAGUGGUUAACGAAUCCGACUAGGAACCAUGAGGUUGCAGGUUUGAUCCCUGGCCUCACUCAGUGGGUUGAGGAUCCAGCAUUGCUGUGAGCUCUGGCAUAGGUCGCAGACGCAGCUCUGAUCCCACAUUGCUGUGGCGUAGGCCGGUGGCUACAGCCCCAAUUAGACCCCUAGCCUUGGAACCUCCAUAUGCUGCAGGUGCGGUCCAAAAAAAAAAAAAAAAAAAAAAAAAAGGAAGAGGAAAUAAAAGAUAACAAUAAGUUUCCUGAUUUAACCCCUACCUGGACAGACGGCAUAAAAAUUAUUGGUUUUCAGCAUAAUAUUCUUUUGUUAAUACUUGUGUCAUCCUUUUUUGAAUUAAUCGAUUGCCAGAAAAAGAUCUCACCUCUACCCCUUGCUUUCACUUAAGGAAUCCACCAAAUCAAUAUAGCAGGAUAAGAGGACAAUCUGUUUUAAAAGGCUCUGAGGAUAGUUGUUUUCAUAACUAACCUCAGUCCUUACUGUUUUUGUCUUUUCUUUUUUUUCCUUAAGUCUGGAGCAGAAAGGACCCACUGUUGGGGAGAGGUUAGUCUAUUACUUAAAGAGCAGCAGUCAUUAGUAGGUCCUGUGACAGAUGAUUACGCAAAGUAUCUAGACUUCACAACUAUCCUAUAGAGUAGCUAUCAUUUCCAUUUUAUUCUUGAGGAAAUGGGUUCAGAGAGGUUUAGAAACUUGCCCAAAGUCAGAGUAUAUACAAAGCCAUCUACAAGAAUUAUCCUUUAUCUCUCAAGAGAAUUCUAGAAUUCAUGUGUUAUUAGUAUAAGUACAAUGAAUGCAAUGCCAGUAAAUAAAAUGGAAUGAAAAGUCUGUUAUUAAAUUGGAGAAACAAAAGAAUCUUCAAGAAAAAUACAGCUAAGAGAUUCAAAAUUUAAAGCAUUUACCAUCCUUUCUGAAUGACACUUUAACUUAUAAUCUGAAUAGAAAAUAGUGGGAAGGAGUUCCUGUUGUGGUUCAGUGGUUAACGAAACCAACUAGGAACCAUGAGGUUGUGGGUUCAACCCCUGGCCUCACUCAGUGGGUUAAGGAUCUGGCAUUGCUGUGAGCUGUGGUGUAGGCCACAGAUGAAGCUUAGAUCCCACGUUGCUGUGGCUCUGGUGUAGCCCUGCGGUUACAGCUCCGAUCAGACCCCUAGCCUGGGAACUUCCAUAUGCUGUGGGUGCGGCCCUAGAAAAGACAAAAAGACAAAAGAAAAGAAAACAGUGGGAAAAACACUUAAAUUGUUUAUGUAACCAAAUAAUAUCAUAUACAACCAAGACAAUUUGAUUUUUAAAUUUUUAAAGGUUUCAUAAUUAAGAAACCAUGAUUAAAAUUGGAAUAAACGUUUAAAGCAGUUGAUUAGUUGUCAGUCUCUUCUCUAUACCCUGCCUUUGGAACUAUAUAAUUUUAUUCAACUGUUUAUAGAGAGAUUCCUUUCAUCUCAGGAGAAUAUAAUCACAUAAUCGGAUACAAUGCAAUUGUUCCCAUUUAAUUGUGAAUCAUGGCUACACUUGCAAAUUAGUCUGUUAUCACAGCAGAUCUAUCAAUUUGGUGGGGAAUGCAUUUGCCAGCUAGAAUGAAAAAAGUUAAUAAACAUUAAUAAGCAUCUUAAAUCAAUCAUUCCUUUACUCUUGAUGUGGUGGUGGAUAUUGAGAUUAAUAAAUCAGUCAACACAAAUGAAGUGAUGAGGAAGGGAGGCACAGGGAGGCCUCUUGAUGCCCUGUGUAGUUAAGCAGGAUGCUUAAAAACAAAUUGGAAGAUAAGGAUGAGGCACUAAACCUUCAGUGAAAUGACUUGUAAAUUAAACAAAGUAAAUCCAGAUAGUCAUCCAUGUCUGGUCUCUUAUGUACCACUGUUGAUAAAAGCUGGAGGAGAAAACAAAAUGCUCAGUCAGGAUAAAUGAGGUCUGUUGGCAGCAUCAUAUAGGGAUUAAGAGCAUGGGCUUCAGAGUGAGACUGCUCCAUGUUAAAUCCAGGUCCCAUAACUUUUUUUUAUUAGUAUUAUUUUUAUUUUUUCCAUUAUAGUUGGUUUACAGUGUUCUGCCAAUUUCUACUGAACAGCAAAGGGACCCAGUCAUUCUUUUUCUCACAUUAUCCUCCAUCAUGUUCCAUUACAAGUGACUAGAUAUAGUUCCCUGUGCUAUACAGUAGGAUUUCAUUGCUUAUCCACUCCAAAGGCAAUAGUUUGCAUCUUUUAACCCCAGACUCCUAGUC